Molecule: ribosomal RNA, 468 nt
Filed under: uncultured bacterium
Lineage: Bacteria
Description: partial 16S ribosomal RNA
Rfam family: Bacterial small subunit ribosomal RNA
Source: RNAcentral
GACGAACGCUGGCGGCGUGCCUAACACAUGCAAGUCGAACGGAAAGGCCCUGCUUUUGUGGGGUGCUCGAGUGGCGAACGGGUGAGUAACACGUGAGUAACCUGCCCUUGACUUUGGGAUAACUUCAGGAAACUGGGGCUAAUACCGGAUAGGAGCUCCUGCUGCAUGGUGGGGGUUGGAAAGUUUCGGCGGCUGGGGUUGGACUCGCGGCUUAUUAGCUUGUUGGUGGGGUAGUGGCUUACCAUGGCUUUGACGGGUAGCCGGCCUGAGAGGGUGACCGGGGACAAUAGGACUGAGGGAGGGCCCAGUGGGCAACUUGAGGCAAGGGGGGGAAGCAUGACACAAUGGGGGGAAGCGUGAUACAACAACGCCGGGUGCGGAAAGACGGCCUGCGGGGGAUAAACCGCUUUCGGCUGAGACGAAGCGUGAGUGACGGUAACGGAUAAAGAAGCACCGGCUAACUACGUG